This is a non-coding RNA of Coturnix japonica (Japanese quail), 334 nucleotides long. Lineage: Eukaryota; Metazoa; Chordata; Aves; Galliformes; Phasianidae. The record is from RefSeq and is a predicted model, not a curated record.
UAGAAUUCAGAGUGACUAAGAGAACUGCUAACAUUUGUGUCUUCCCUGCCCUUGCUUGCGAUGUCUCUUCCUGUGCAGGUCUUUUCCACCAUGACUUUAAGCAGCCUUGUGGUUUCUCAGCAUCCCCUCCUUGUCUUUUCUUGCUGAGAUUUCACUCUCAGGCCCUUUUGCUGCCUGCCCUGAUCACACCCAUCUUAAACAUGCAAACUGAGAAACCAUCAGUGCACAGCCAUGCUUUGGUUCAGAGGUCUCAGGUAUAAAGGAGCAUUGAAAUCAAGGACGAAGAUGCCAACAAAGACUGAGGGAAGAUAGCGGACCCAGACCUCCUGUGAAA